AGUGAACGCUGGCGAUAGGCCUAACACAUGCAAGUCGAACGGCAGCACAGUAAGAGCUUGCCCUUACGGGUGGCGAGUGGCGGACGGGUGAGGAAUACAUCGGAAUCUACUUUUUCGUGGGGGAUAACGUAGGGAAACUUACGCUAAUACCGCAUACGACCUACGGGUGAAAGCAGGGGUCUUCGGACCUUUCGCGGUUGAAUGAGCCGAUGUCGGAUUAGCUAGUUGGCGGGGUAAAGGCCCACCAAGGCGACGAUCCGUAGCUGGUCUGAGAGGAUGAUCAGCCACACUGGAACUGAGACACGGUCCAGACUCCUACGGGAGGCAGCAGUGGGGAAUAUUGGACAAUGGGCGCAAGCCUGAUCCAGCCAUACCGCGUGGGUGAAGAAGGCCUUCGGGUUGUAAAGCCCUUUUGUUGGGAAAGAAAAGCAGCAGGUUAAUACCCCGCUGUUCUGACGGUACCCAAAGAAUAAGCACCGGCUAACUUCGUG
RNAcentral lists this ribosomal RNA (491 nucleotides) under uncultured bacterium. Its description in RNAcentral is "partial 16S ribosomal RNA". It matches the Rfam family "Bacterial small subunit ribosomal RNA", at positions 29 to 507 of the family's 1533-position model. The record is from RNAcentral.